GGCUACAAUCAUACUAGCACUAUUGCACCGGAUCCCAUCAGAACGCCACAGUUAAGCGUGCUUAGGCGAGAGUAGUACUGGGAUGGGUGACCUCCUGGGAAGUCCUCCCGUUGCACCCC
Molecule: ribosomal RNA, 119 nt
Filed under: Cephalotus follicularis
Lineage: Eukaryota; Viridiplantae; Streptophyta; Magnoliopsida; Oxalidales; Cephalotaceae
Source: RNAcentral